Molecule: long non-coding RNA, 1164 nt
Filed under: Olea europaea subsp. europaea
Lineage: Eukaryota; Viridiplantae; Streptophyta; Magnoliopsida; Lamiales; Oleaceae
Source: RNAcentral
CUUUUGCCUCAUGUCGUUUAACCUUGUAGGUGGUGCCUAUCUUAUCUUACUUCCCACUAACGCCCUUAGGAAUCCCUGUUUCAACUGUGGCCAGCUCUUUAUUGAGCCUAAAGACAGUUUGCUGUACCAUCACAUAGGAAUUUCAUCCAACAUCAGAUGGAAACCUUGACAUUAAAAUGAGGGGCUUGCUUUUUCAGCCUAAUCUACGUCGUGUAUUCUUAGAGAUGGUACAUUGGAACACCUUUACCACUAUAUUUCUCCAUUACAGCCACAGGGCAGAUAAAACUAUCUAGAAUUGGCUCUCCUCUGAUUUCUCUUGAAAAUGGCAGAGCUCAUCAUCAUCAUCAUCAUCCAGUUCAAAUGAUCUUGUAGAUUGGUCUUCAUAUUCUUUAUACAGAGGAGUGUUAUAUGAAUUAUUGAUCAACUUUUCUAUUCUCCAACCCUCCUAGCAAUAACGUUGGCCAUAUUUCCUAUCUUGAGAAUUCACCUCAUUUGCAAACCUCUCCAAGGCAAGUUUGUUCACUCAUCGCUCAUUCAUUUUCCUUUUUGGUACAUUGUUGUAGGUUUUCAACCCUUAUACAUUGUUGUUGUUCUCAUGGAAGAAGCUGUGAUUAGUUCUUCUCCAGAUUUACAUUGCAGAUUCGUCUUUGGACCUUCAAACUUUGCCCGCAGAAAUUCAUUCUCUUCCAUUAGCGCCUCGAGGUUUUCUGCCAUUUGCUAGAGAGUUUUUGUCGUAGAUAUUUUUCUUCUGUAAGCGAUGGCAUUGGGUGGAAGAAAUGUCGAUGGUUCCUCAAUUUACCGCUUCGAGUUGAUGUCCCUGUUUACUUGGUCAUUGCUGUGCUCUUCUGCUUCAACUUCCAUCAUUUUAGCAUCUUUCGAAUUUACUUCCGUCUGUUUCAUUUUUUCAAAUUUCAAUGGUUUUUCAAGUUAGAAGGAUGAAUUCUAGAUUUUGUUUGCUCAAGUAUUCCUACAGAAGGCGCCAAUUUGUUGACGAUAUAAUUACGAUCAACAAGUUUCUCUCACCUUGUUAGAAUUUUCUUCUCCUAAACUCACUAGUUUUGAUACUUAAAUUGAAGCAAAACGUGAAAUAAUUAUUUGGGACGGAGAUAUUUGAAUUUACAUACCUUCUUCCUCUGAAGAGAGUAUUUGAAGAUUUCCUCAGGC